UACAGAGGGUGCGAGCGUUAAUCGGAAUUACUGGGCGUAAAGCGCGCGUAGGCGGCUAUACAAGUCGAGUGUGAAAUCCCCGGGCUCAACCUGGGAACUGCAUUCGAGACUGUAUGGCUUGAGUAUGGGAGAGGGAGGCGGAAUUUCAGGUGUAGCGGUGAAAUGCGUAGAUAUCUGAAGGAACAUCAGUGGCGAAAGCGGCCUCCUGGACCAAUACUGACGCUCAUGUGCGAAAGCGUGGGGAGCAAAC
Molecule: ribosomal RNA, 250 nt
Filed under: uncultured bacterium
Lineage: Bacteria
Description: partial 16S ribosomal RNA
Rfam family: Bacterial small subunit ribosomal RNA
Source: RNAcentral